GAUGAACGCUGGCGGCGUGCCUAAUACAUGCAAGUCGGGCGAACAGACGAGGAGCUUGCUCCUCUGACGUUAGCGGCGGACGGGUGAGUAACACGUGGAUAACCUACCUAUAAGACUGGGAUAACUUCGGGAAACCGGAGCUAAUACCGGAUAAUAUAUUGAACCGCAUGGUUCAAUAGUGAAAGACGGUUUUGCUGUCACUUAUAGAUGGAUCCGCGCCGCAUUAGCUAGUUGGUAAGGUAACGGCUUACCAAGGCGACGAUGCGUAGCCGACCUGAGAGGGUGAUCGGCCACACUGGAACUGAGACACGGUCCAGACUCCUACGGGAGGCAGCAGUAGGGAAUCUUCCGCAAUGGGCGAAAGCCUGACGGAGCAACGCCGCGUGAGUGAUGAAGGUCUUCGGAUCGUAAAACUCUGCUAUUAGGGAAGAACAAAUGUGUAAGUAACUAUGCACGUCUUGACGGUACCUAAUCAGAAAGCCACGGCUAACUACGUG
Molecule: ribosomal RNA, 497 nt
Filed under: uncultured bacterium
Lineage: Bacteria
Description: partial 16S ribosomal RNA
Rfam family: Bacterial small subunit ribosomal RNA
Source: RNAcentral